UAGGGAAUCUUCGGCAAUGGGGGGAACCCUGACCGAGCAACGCCGCGUGAGUGAAGAAGGUUUUCGGAUCGUAAAGCUCUGUUGUUAAGGAAGAACGAGUGUGAGAAUGGAAAGUUCAUGCUGUGACGGUACUUAACCAGAAAGGGACGGCUAACUACGUGCCAGCAGCCGCGGUAAUACGUAGGUCCCGAGCGUUGUCCGGAUUUAUUGGGCGUAAAGCGAGCGCAGGCGGUUAGAAGAGUCUGAAGUGAAAGGCAGUGGCUCAACCAUUGUAGGCUUUGGAAACUGUUUAACUUGAGUGCAGAAGGGGAGAGUGGAAUUCCAUGUGUAGCGGUGAAAUGCGUAGAUAUAUGGAGGAACACCGGUGGCGAAAGCGGCUCUCUGGUCUGUAACUGACGCUGAGGCUCGAAAGCGUGGGGAGCGAACAGG
Molecule: ribosomal RNA, 429 nt
Filed under: Bacteroidota bacterium
Lineage: Bacteria; Pseudomonadati; Bacteroidota
Description: Bacteroidetes bacterium partial 16S ribosomal RNA
Rfam family: Bacterial small subunit ribosomal RNA
Source: RNAcentral